Molecule: long non-coding RNA, 704 nt
Filed under: Bos indicus x Bos taurus (hybrid cattle)
Lineage: Eukaryota; Metazoa; Chordata; Mammalia; Artiodactyla; Bovidae
Description: lncRNA (ENSBIXG00005030557.1)
Source: RNAcentral
AUCUACCAUAGAGGUCUACCCUAGAGGCUCAGUAUGACUUGACCAUGCAUAAACCAAGUUUCAGCAGAGCCUAGUUACAUCUUGGGCUUCUGCAAACUGAGAUUGUCAAUGGCAUGUUCCUGAAGCUCACCCUUAAUUGGAUCCUGAAAAUAUUUAUUAUUGAUCAGAUGCUGUCAGGUUUUUUUUUUUUUUUUUUUUUUUUUAAGGUCCCUAAUUGAUAAACCUUUGGUUGAUUGCUGUGGUUGAAGAAAAAUGUCUACCUUUCCUCAAGUACAAAGUUUGGAAUUACAUUUGGAAAAUGAUUGGAAAAUUGUUGUGAGCCUGAGGGUGUGGCAACACGAGAAAUCAAUAGAAAACAGAAUCUUUGAAGUUGACAGCAUCUCUGAUGAAAUCUUCAAGGAGUUCCGCAUGAGAGGCCUCUGAAGACUGAAGAUGCCAAUGAUGACAGAGAUGUUCAUGGAGAAACUGGGCAUUCAGAAAGGAACAAUGCAGGUUUUCCAAGCAAGGGAAAAGAUAUGAGCAGAGGUAUGGAUGGGAAAUAUGUAAUUGAUCUUUUGCAGUACAAUUACAUUUAGUUUUAUUGGCAUGGAAAUGUGUAAUUGUGAUUUGGGAAAGAGGGUGUGGUUAUAUUAAUGUGUAGGACUUUGAUUGCCAGGUCAAGGAAUUGAAAUAAAGGGAUGCCAUUGAAAGUUUUAAAAAAUAAU